Molecule: ribosomal RNA, 404 nt
Filed under: uncultured bacterium
Lineage: Bacteria
Description: bacterial SSU rRNA
Rfam family: Bacterial small subunit ribosomal RNA
Source: RNAcentral
AAUGAACGCUGGCGGCGCGCCUAAUACAUGCAAGUCGAGCGAGAAGACGUAGCAAUACGCUUGUAAAGCGGCGAACGGGUGAGGAAUACAUGGGUAACCUACCCUAGAGUGGGGAAUAACUAGCCGAAAGGUUAGCUAAUACCGCGUACGCUCCUUGGACUUCGGUUCAGGGAGGAAAGCGAUGCCGAGGGUAUCGCGCUCUUGGAUGGGCUCAUGUCCUAUCAGCUUGNGGUGAGGUAACGGCUCACCAAGGCUUCGACGGGUAGCUGGUCUGAGAGGACGAUCAGCCACACUGGCACUGCGACACGGGCCAGACUCCUACGGGAGGCAGCAGUAAGGAAUAUUGCGCAAUGGGCGAAAGCCUGACGCAGCGACGCCGCGUGGGGGAUGAAGGUCUUCGGAUU